GACGAACGCUGGCGGCGUGCUUAACACAUGCAAGUCGAACGGAAAGGCCUGCUUUCCCUUGUGGAUUGCGGGUACUCGAGUGGCGAACGGGUGAGUAACACGUGAGUGAUCUGCCCCCAACUUGGGUAUAAGCCUGGGAAACUGGGUCUAAUUCCCGAUAGGACUGCAGGGUGGUGCCUGUGGUGGAAAACGAUUUUCUAGUGGUUGGGGAUGAGCUCGCGGCCUAUCAGCUUGUUGGUGGGGUAAUGGCCUACCAAGGCGGCGACGGGUAGCCGGCCUGAGAGGGUGGACGGCCACAUUGGGACUAAGAUACGGCCCAGACUCCUACGGGAGGCAGCAGUGGGGAAUAUUGCACAAUGGGCGGAAGCCUGAUGCAGCGACGCCGCGUGGGGGAUGACGGCCUUCGGGUUGUAAACUCCUUUCGACCGCGAGGAAGCCACCUGGUUGGAAGGGUGGUGACGGUAGUGGUAGAAGAAGCACCGGCUAACUACGUG
RNAcentral lists this ribosomal RNA (494 nucleotides) under uncultured bacterium. Its description in RNAcentral is "partial 16S ribosomal RNA". It matches the Rfam family "Bacterial small subunit ribosomal RNA", at positions 28 to 507 of the family's 1533-position model. The record is from RNAcentral.